UCGGCUAAGUCGCACGCGUGCCUGCAACGCUUCGAGAAAGGAGCCGUGUUAAAAGAAUUCGACGAGAGACGCGUAAAAAUAGAGAAAGCUACGAGACACCGACGAGGAGGAAAUAAAAUCGUCGCCACGAUUCGACGAAGAAGGAGGGGUAUUACUCCGUUAUAGAUUGCAUCACAAACUGGCGUUAAGAUGCCCUCUCUCUUUCUCUCUCUCUCUCCCUUCCUGUCUCAAUUUUACUGCGGUCAGCCGCCUCGGGAUACUUCGCGACGCAGAGCUGUACAGCUUCAUGAUUCUACGAAUCCGUCGUCCGUGUUUGGCAACGUACACGGCGCUUCGAUGCACCUGCCCGUAUGAAGAUAUUUAUGGAUCUACCUAACACGGCGGACUAAGGCGCGCUUAAGGCGGAAGUAGAGCCGGCGGAUGGUGAAUGUUUCCUUGUUACUGCGUGGUAUUUAAAUAACUCGGUGAACUUGGAACGCGUGUUGAAAUUACGACAGAGAACAAGGAAAAGUAUUUCCCAGAUAUAAUCUUCCGAAUUAUCUCUGUUCCGAUCUCUUCUUCAUCAGUCAACUGCUGUUUAUGAACUAAAUAAAAUUGUCUCCUUUCUUAUACAAUAUUCAAGAAGAAAAAUAGAAAAAAAAAGAAAACCAAACAACGAUAUCGCACGGAUAUCUGUGCUUAUUUGCGAUUCGUAUUGACCCAAUUUUAUUGAUCAAAAAUAUAAUCACAAAUAUAAUAUAUAUCGAUUCAUUUAAUUAAACAUG
Molecule: long non-coding RNA, 764 nt
Organism: Temnothorax curvispinosus
Lineage: Eukaryota; Metazoa; Arthropoda; Insecta; Hymenoptera; Formicidae
Exons: 3
Source: RefSeq, a predicted model, not a curated record